RNAcentral lists this long non-coding RNA (444 nucleotides) under Physcomitrium patens. Its description in RNAcentral is "long non-coding RNA (PPAT_LNC007309)". The record is from RNAcentral. Lineage: Eukaryota; Viridiplantae; Streptophyta; Bryopsida; Funariales; Funariaceae.
UAAUGAUAACAAAACAAGAUUUUUAGUUUACAACAGUGAGAUCUAAUUUUUGAGUAAGCCAAUUAUCAAUCAUAAAUGGUUGAGUCCUAGAAUCAAGGAUAACAUGCAAAGAUAUGACACAAGUGGUAUUACCACUAGUAUAGCUAACAACUAACAUAUUAUUAUUGUUAACCAAUCAUAUAAUUUUUAGGCACAAAUUUUGACAUUUUCAAAUAAAUUUAGUUACAAUAUUAGAUAAAAAUGCUACCUUUAUAAUCAAUGGCACCUCACUUAAAGGAUUUAUAAUUAUAGCCUUUAAGUAACCUUCAUCAAAUAUGAUAUUAGCUUUAAUUGCAAAUAUUACUUGUAACUUAGUUAAAUCUUCUUGUGUUGAAGACUUUCUUAUCACUUAAGCUUCUUCUAAUGAUGGCAUAGGUACUUUUCUUUCCAAUAUUUUAUUAACCA